AAGUCUCAUAAAUUUUUGGGUUAUCACACCCAGAGCCGCGACGCUCUAAGGUAUUUUAACAACAAAUUUUCAGCAAGUUAAGAGCACAAUUUGCCCAUUCUCCCCACAUACUCGGCCACAAACUCUCCCACUUGCCCACAAACACCCACAAACUCAACUUUCUUCAAAUAUUUAAAUACCAACUUGGGAGGAACUUCAAUUGAACUUAAGUUCAACAACACAAGCCUUAUUAAACAUCUACGAGAGGAUUUCAAGGAGGAAUCGAGUGCUAUAUAUAUUGAGGGAAAGAUUAGAUUUAAUUUCAUUAACUUGUCAUCUUCUUCCAAUACAAGAGGUAAUUAGUACAUGCAAUCAUUUUUUUUUUCUUUGUGACUGAAUUACACUAGUUGGGAUCAUUUUUAGCGUUGGAUACAACCAUUACAGGAGAUUAAAGUCAUAAAAAUUUUGAUUUGGGGA
RNAcentral lists this long non-coding RNA (456 nucleotides) under Panax ginseng (ginseng). Its description in RNAcentral is "long non-coding RNA (PGIN_LNC000307)". Lineage: Eukaryota; Viridiplantae; Streptophyta; Magnoliopsida; Apiales; Araliaceae. The record is from RNAcentral.